AUUGAACGCUGGCGGCAUGCCUUACACAUGCAAGUCGAACGGCAGCACGGGAGCAAUCCUGGUGGCGAGUGGCGAACGGGUGAGUAAAGUAUCGGAACGUGCCCAGUCGUGGGGGAUAACGUAGCGAAAGUUACGCUAAUACCGCAUACGAUCUAUGGAUGAAAGCGGGGGAUCGCAAGACCUCGCGCGAUUGGAGCGGCCGAUAUCAGAUUAGGUAGUUGGUGGGGUAAAGGCUCACCAAGCCGACGAUCCGUAGCUGGUCUGAGAGGACGACCAGCCACACUGGGACUGAGACACGGCCCAGACUCCUACGGGAGGCAGCAGUGGGGAAUUGUGGACAAUGGGCGAAAGCCUGAUCCAGCCAUGCCGCGUGCAGGAUGAAGGCCUUCGGGUUGUAAACUGCUUUUGUACGGAACGAAAAGGUUUGGCCUAAUAAGCUGAGCUCAUGACGGUACCGUAAGAAUAAGCACCGGCUAACUACGUGCCAGCCGCCGCGGUAA
RNAcentral lists this ribosomal RNA (500 nucleotides) under uncultured bacterium. Its description in RNAcentral is "partial 16S ribosomal RNA". It matches the Rfam family "Bacterial small subunit ribosomal RNA", at positions 30 to 523 of the family's 1533-position model. The record is from RNAcentral.